CUACGGGAGGCAGCAGUGGGGAAUAUUGGACAAUGGGCGAAAGCCUGAUCCAGCCAUGCCGCGUGAGUGAUGAAGGCCCUAGGGUUGUAAAGCUCUUUCGGCGGGGACGAUAAUGACGGUACCUGGAUAAGAAGCCCCGGCUAACUUCGUGCCAGCAGCCGCGGUAAUACGAAGGGGGCUAGCGUUGUUCGGAAUCACUGGGCGUAAAGCGCACGUAGGCGGAUCUUUAAGUCAGGGGUGAAAUCCCGGGGCUCAACCUCGGAACUGCCUUUGAUACUGGGGAUCUCGAGUUCGGGAGAGGUGAGUGGAACUGCGAGUGUAGAGGUGAAAUUCGUAGAUAUUCGCAAGAACACCAGUGGCGAAGGCGGCUCACUGGCCCGAUACUGACGCUGAGGUGCGAAAGCGUGGGGAGCAAACAGGAUUAGAAACCCCAGUAGUCC
This 440-nucleotide ribosomal RNA is filed under the name uncultured bacterium. RNAcentral's name for it is "bacterial SSU rRNA". It matches the Rfam family "Bacterial small subunit ribosomal RNA", at positions 339 to 796 of the family's 1533-position model. The record is from RNAcentral.